Molecule: ribosomal RNA, 253 nt
Filed under: uncultured bacterium
Lineage: Bacteria
Description: partial 16S ribosomal RNA
Rfam family: Bacterial small subunit ribosomal RNA
Source: RNAcentral
UACGAAGGGGGCUAGCGUUGCUCGGAAUCACUGGGCGUAAAGCGCACGUAGGCGGAUUGUUAAGUCAGGGGUGAAAUCCUGGAGCUCAACUCCAGAACUGCUUUUGAUACUGGCGAUCUUGAGUCCGGGAGAGGUGAGUGGAACUGCGAGUGUAGAGGUGAAAUUCGUAGAUAUUCGCAAGAACACCAGUGGCGAAGGCGGCUCACUGGCCCGGUACUGACGCUGAGGUGCGAAAGCGUGGGGAGCAAACAGG